This 254-nucleotide ribosomal RNA is filed under the name uncultured bacterium. RNAcentral describes it as "partial 16S ribosomal RNA". It matches the Rfam family "Bacterial small subunit ribosomal RNA", at positions 74 to 334 of the family's 1533-position model. The record is from RNAcentral.
CAAACCAAAGCUGGCGACCGGCGCACGGGUGAGUAACACGUAUCCAACCUGCCUCAUACUCGGGGAUAGCCUUUCGAAAGAAAGAUUAAUAUCCGAUAGCAUAUAUUUCCCGCAUGGGUUUUAUAUUAAAGAAGUUCGGUAUGAGAUGGGGAUGCGUUCCAUUAGUUUGUUGGGGGGUAACGGCCCACCAAGACUACGAUGGAUAGGGGUUCUGAGAGGAAGGUCCCCCACAUUGGAACUGAGACACGGUCCAA